Molecule: non-coding RNA, 90 nt
Filed under: bovine gut metagenome
Description: Glycine riboswitch
Rfam family: Glycine riboswitch aptamer
About the family: This family represents the bacterial glycine riboswitch.
Source: RNAcentral
ACGAAACUCCGGAGAGCGCGGGUCAUCCCGCGCACCAAAGGUGCAACCCGCCGCCGCGGCGGGGAAUCUCUCAGGUAUUUGACGGAGGCG